AUUGAACGCUGGCGGCAGGCCUAACACAUGCAAGUCGAAUGGUAACAGGAAACAGCUUGCUGUUUCGCUGACGAGUGGCGGACGGGUGAGUAAUGUCUGGGAAACUGCCUGAUGGAGGGGGAUAACUACUGGAAACGGUAGCUAAUACCGCAUAACGUCGCAAGACCAAAGAGGGGGACCUUCGGGCCUCUUGCCAUCAGAUGUGCCCAGAUGGGAUUAGCUAGUAGGUGGGGUAACGGCUCACCUAGGCGACGAUCCCUAGCUGGUCUGAGAGGAUGACCAGCCACACUGGAACUGAGACACGGUCCAGACUCCUACGGGAGGCAGCAGUGGGGAAUAUUGCACAAUGGGCGCAAGCCUGAUGCAGCCAUGCCGCGUGUAUGAAGAAGGCCUUCGGGUUGUAAAGUACUUUCAGCGGGGAGGAAGGGAGUAAAGUUAAUACCUUUGCCCAUUGACGUUACCCGCAGAAGAAGCACCGGCUAACUCCGUG
RNAcentral lists this ribosomal RNA (490 nucleotides) under uncultured bacterium. RNAcentral describes it as "partial 16S ribosomal RNA". It matches the Rfam family "Bacterial small subunit ribosomal RNA", at positions 30 to 507 of the family's 1533-position model. The record is from RNAcentral.